CCCUUAGAUGUCCUGGGCUGCACGCGCGCUACACUGAUGUGUCCAGUAAGCACCUAACCUAUUCCGAGAGGAGCGGGUAACCUUAGCAAAGCACAUCGUGAUGGGGAUAGAUUAUUGCAAUUAUUAGUCUUGAACGAGGAAUUCCUAGUAAGUACAAGUCAUCAGCUUGUGUUGAUUACGUCCCUGCCCUUUGUACACACCGCCCGUCGCUCCUACCGAUUGAAUGUUCCGGUGAGCUCUUCGGACUGCGCGGUCUGCAGUUUCUGCGUUCCGUGCGGAAAGUUGUGCAAACCUUAACAUUUAGAGGAAGGAGAAGUCGUAACA
Molecule: ribosomal RNA, 324 nt
Filed under: uncultured eukaryote
Lineage: Eukaryota
Description: partial 18S ribosomal RNA
Rfam family: Eukaryotic small subunit ribosomal RNA
Source: RNAcentral